Oncorhynchus tshawytscha (Chinook salmon) is the source of this 348-nucleotide long non-coding RNA. NCBI's taxonomy places the organism in Eukaryota, Metazoa, Chordata, Actinopteri, Salmoniformes, Salmonidae. The record is from Ensembl.
AUGGUAUUUUAGCUGUAGGUCUACUGCAGUUAAUAUGGUAUUUUAGCUGUAGGUCUACUGCGGUUAAUAUGGUAUUUUAGCUGUAGGUCUACUGCGGUUAAUAUGGUAUUUUAGCUGUAGGUCUACUGCGGUUAAUAUGGUAUUUUGCAGAUGCUUUUAUCCAGAACUGUCAACAUUGAUAGUGACACACAUUCAGUAGAGGCCUCUGGCACUAAGAGAGAAUAUGUAUACAUAAAAGGAUUAAACACACCUCUCUGACUAUGAGUCUUUUCUUACCCGUGCAUUUGUUUACAAGUUUCCUCAUUUGUUUACAAGUUUCCUCUUCCCUAAUUUGUUUUUGUUUUUUUA